Molecule: transfer RNA, 73 nt
Filed under: Mustela putorius furo (domestic ferret)
Lineage: Eukaryota; Metazoa; Chordata; Mammalia; Carnivora; Mustelidae
Rfam family: tRNA
About the family: Transfer RNA (tRNA) molecules are approximately 80 nucleotides in length.
Source: Rfam by way of RNAcentral
CCCUGGUUGGCUCAGUCAGUAGAGCAUGUGACUCUUGAUCUCGGGGUUGUGAGUUUGAGCCCCACACUGGGUG